UACCGGACAAGAACAUUUCGAUUUCAUCAAGAGAACUCCUCCCUUCAGGCCUAUUCACUUUCUUCACAUAAUCACAGGCAGCUCUUUCCAAACUAUACUCAUCUAACCCUGCUCUCCCACACCUAACCCACAUCCUCUCCCCAAAACUCCUAUGAGCAAAAUAUGCCUCAGCAUCCACCAAAACGACUCUGCCCUUUUCACCCUCCUCCGCAUCACUCUUUUCCCGCAUGAUUACCUGAACCGGACGCCUCUCAUAGUGGCCAACACCCGUGCCCUCCAACUCAUCUAAUGAAACGAGUCCUUGUGUUGUCACGGAGUAUAGCUCGCCAUUGAUUUGGUGACCUUCGGUACCAGGGAGGCACAGCAUGAAUGGAAUCCCAUAGGGGCCAAUAACGAGAGGGUGUGGUUGGUGGGUUCUGCAGGUGCCUACGUAUGUGGCUUCUUUCUGGGAAAUCAGUUGUUGAAAGAGGUAGUGGUUUGGGAAAUCUUUUUUCAGGGUGCCGUAUACGAAGACCAGAGUUUGUUUGGUUUCAUUUGAGACGUUUUUGGCAUCAGCCAUUGCUAGGCUUAGAGAGGAAGAGGCGCAAAGUGAUCUACAACUAAUUUUGCAGGCCGUUGAACAAAGGCCAGGACAAAUUAAAUAGACAAGGGGGUUUCAUGAAAUGGGCUGGGCUCGUUAAGAUGCGUACACGCUGUCGGCAGACAUGUUGGAUCAAGUGGGAUAUGUCUUCUCAGUGCCUGGCCCAUAAAGAUGGUGAGGCCUGUUUGCCUUGCCUUGCCCCCCAAAAAAUCGCCCUUUUUUUAUAAUGAAACUAACAUCAACCUAUCUGUGCAAUUGGGCUUGGUUCGAUUCAGCAACAUUGCCGCUGAUUUGGUGGUCUCAAUUUGUCGAUCCUAGCUCCUUUUUUUUUAUAUAUAUUUUUUUGCAAUUGCAGGGUGGGUAUUUAAUUUAUCACUAUUUUGCUAUGUAGAGAGUAGAUUUGGAGUAAGAAUAAAUAUAAAUUAGAGCACACCUUGAAGUGUAAAACCAGGAACAUCUAUUUCUAUGAAAUUAAGAAAACGAGAAGACGAAUCUUGACCCUUCUUAAAUGAUUGGAGUGCACACACACAACCCAGUAAUUAGCAGAAUCACUCUGCAAAAUUUCAAUCCCAGUUAUAUUAAUUAACAGUGUAAAUUGGUGUUAGCUGAAAAGA
Populus euphratica (Euphrates poplar) is the source of this 1194-nucleotide long non-coding RNA. RefSeq lists it as uncharacterized. NCBI's taxonomy places the organism in Eukaryota, Viridiplantae, Streptophyta, Magnoliopsida, Malpighiales, Salicaceae. The transcript is spliced from 2 exons. The record is from RefSeq and is a predicted model, not a curated record.